This 484-nucleotide ribosomal RNA is filed under the name uncultured bacterium. RNAcentral's name for it is "bacterial SSU rRNA". It matches the Rfam family "Bacterial small subunit ribosomal RNA", at positions 30 to 507 of the family's 1533-position model. The record is from RNAcentral.
AUUGAACGCUGGCGGCAUGCCUUACACAUGCAAGUCGAACGGUAACAGGGAGCUUGCUCCGCUGACGAGUGGCGAACGGGUGAGUAAAGUAUCGGAACGUACCUUUCAGUGGGGGAUAAUGUAGCGAAAGUUACGCUAAUACCGCAUAUUCUGUGAGCAGGAAAGCAGGGGAUCGCAAGACCUUGCGCUGAUUGAGCGGCCGAUAUCAGAUUAGCUAGUUGGUGAGGUAAAGGCUCACCAAGGCGACGAUCUGUAGCGGGUCUGAGAGGAUGAUCCGCCACACUGGAACUGAGACACGGUCCAGACUCCUACGGGAGGCAGCAGUGGGGAAUUUUGGACAAUGGGGGCAACCCUGAUCCAGCCAUGCCGCGUGAGUGAAGAAGGCCUUCGGGUUGUAAAGCUCUUUCGGCCGGGAAGAAAUCGCAUGGGUUAAUACCCUGUGCGGAUGACGGUACCGGCAUAAGAAGCACCGGCUAACUACGUG